This 469-nucleotide ribosomal RNA is filed under the name uncultured bacterium. RNAcentral describes it as "partial 16S ribosomal RNA". It matches the Rfam family "Bacterial small subunit ribosomal RNA", at positions 28 to 507 of the family's 1533-position model. The record is from RNAcentral.
GACGAACGCUGGCGGCGUGCUUAACACAUGCAAGUCGAACGAUGAAGCACCAGCUUGCUGGUGUGGACUAGUGGCGAACGGGUGAGUAACACGUGAGUAACCUGCCCCUCACUUUGGGAUAAGCCUGGGAAACUGGGUCUAAUACUGGAUACGACCGCCCUCUGCAUGGUGUGUUGGUGGAAAGUUCUUGUGGUGGGGGAUGGACUCGCGGCCUAUCAGCUUGUUGGUGGGGUAGUGGCCUACCAAGGCGACGACGGGUAGCCGGCCUGAGAGGGCGACCGGCCACACUGGGACUGAGACACGGCCCAGACUCCUACGGGAGGCAGCAGUGGGGAAUAUUGCACAAUGGGCGAAAGCCUGAUGCAGCGACGCCGCGUGAGGGAUGACGGCCUUCGGGUUGUAAACCGCUUUCGCCAGGGACGAAGCGAACGUGACGGUACCUGGUGAAGAAGCACCGGCUAACUACGUG